AAGUAGCGUGAAGGAUGACUGCCCUAUGGGUUGUAAACUUCUUUUAUAUGGGAAUAAAGUGCAGUAUGUAUACUGCUUUGCAUGUACCUUAUGAAUAAGGAUCGGCUAACUCCGUGCCAGCAGCCGCGGUAAUACGGAGGAUCCGAGCGUUAUCCGGAUUUAUUGGGUUUAAAGGGAGCGUAGGCGGGUUGUUAAGUCAGUUGUGAAAGUUUGCGGCUCAACCGUAAAAUUGCAGUUGAUACUGGCAUCCUUGAGUACAGUAGAGGUAGGCGGAAUUCGUGGUGUAGCGGUGAAAUGCUUAGAUAUCACGAAGAACUCCGAUUGCGAAGGCAGCCUGCUGGACUGUAACUGACGCUGAUGCUCGAAAGUGUGGGUAUCAAACAGGAUUAGAUACCCUGGUAGUCCACACAGUAAACGAUGAAUACUCGCUGUUUGCGA
RNAcentral lists this ribosomal RNA (438 nucleotides) under uncultured bacterium. Its description in RNAcentral is "bacterial SSU rRNA". It matches the Rfam family "Bacterial small subunit ribosomal RNA", at positions 394 to 829 of the family's 1533-position model. The record is from RNAcentral.